UUCGCAAUGCCCGAAAGGGUGAACGAGCGACGCCGCGUGCGGGAUGAAGGGUUUCGGCUUGUAAACCGCUUUUCUUUGGGAAGAAGGUCUGUCUCGUGCAGAUGGGCUCGACGGUACCAGAGGAAUAAGCCUCGGCUAACUCCGUGCCAGCAGCCGCGGUAAGACGGAGGAGGCAAGCGUUGUUCGGAAUUAUUGGGCGUAAAGGGCGCGUAGGCGGUUGAGCAAGUCCAUUGUGAAAUCCCCCGGCUUAACCGGGGAACUGCAGUGGAUACUACUUGACUUGAGUGCAGGAGGGGAGAGUGGAAUUCCAGGUGGAGCGGUGAAAUGCGUAGAUAUCUGGAGGAACGCCGGUGGCGAAAGCGACUCUCUGGUCUGUAACUGACGCUGAGGUGCGAAAGCUAGGGGAGCAAACGGGAUUAGAUACCCCGGUAGUCCUAGCCCUAAACGAUGGGCACUAAGUAGAGGGGUUUU
RNAcentral lists this ribosomal RNA (471 nucleotides) under uncultured bacterium. Its description in RNAcentral is "bacterial SSU rRNA". It matches the Rfam family "Bacterial small subunit ribosomal RNA", at positions 364 to 832 of the family's 1533-position model. The record is from RNAcentral.